RNAcentral lists this ribosomal RNA (998 nucleotides) under uncultured bacterium. RNAcentral describes it as "bacterial SSU rRNA". It matches the Rfam family "Bacterial small subunit ribosomal RNA", at positions 505 to 1501 of the family's 1533-position model. The record is from RNAcentral.
GUCCCAGCCGCCGCGGUAAUACGUAGGGUGCAAGCGUUGUCCGGAAUCACUGGGCGUAAAGGGUUCGCAGGCGGCCUAUCAAGUCAGGUGUGAAAGGCAUUGGCUCAACCAAUGUAAGCACUUGAAACUGGUGGGCUUGAGUACUGGAGAGGAGAGUGGAAUUCCUAGUGUAGCGGUGAAAUGCGUAAAUAUUAGGAGGAACACCAGUGGCGAAGGCGACUCUCUGGACAGUUACUGACGCUGAGGAACGAAAGCGUGGGGAGCAAACAGGAUUAAAUACCCUGGUAGUCCACGCCGUAAACGAUGAGUGCUAGGUGUUGGGGGCGACAGUCCUCAUUGCCGCAGCUAACGCAUUAAGCACUCCGCCUGGGGAGUACGGUCGCAAGACUGAAACUCAAAGGAAUUGACGGGGACCCGCACAAGCAGCGGAGCAUGUGGUUUAAUUCUGAAGCAACGCGAAGAACCUUACCAGGACUUGACAUCCCUUAGACCGCUCUAGAGAUAGAGCUUUCCCUUCGGGGACUGAGGUGACAGGUGGUGCAUGGUUGUCGUCAGCUCGUGUCGUGAGAUGUUGGGUUAAGUCCCGCAACGAGCGCAACCCUUGCUUCUAGUUGCCAGCAGGUUAAGCUGGGCACUCUAGAGGGACUGCCGGUGACAAACCGGAGGAAGGUGGGGAUGACGUCAAAUCAUCAUGCCCCUUAUGUUCUGGGCUACACACGUGCUACAAUGGUCGGUACAACGGGCAGCGAAACCGCAAGGUGGAGCUAAUCCUAACAAGCCGAUCCCAGUUCGGAUUGUGGUCUGCAACUCGACCACAUGAAGUUGGAGUUGCUAGUAAUCGCGAAUCAGAAUGUCGCGGUGAAUGCGUUCCCGGGUCUUGUACACACCGCCCGUCACACCAUGGGAGUUGGUAAUACCCGAAGCCGUCGGGCUAACCUUUUGGAGGCAGACGUCGAAGGUAGGACCAAUGACUAGGGUGAAGUCGUAACAAGGUAACC